CAUGCAUGAGAAUCUUCAUGGUUGAGGAAUCCACGGGUAAUCUAUCAGUACCCACGUAGAAUCUUGCUGUGACUUCGUAAGUCUUGCUUAUGAUGUACUUUAUUCGAACUCUAACCUUAGUUAUGACAGUCAUUGGCGGUUUUAUGAAUAUCAGUUCUCUUAUUUUGGCUCCAGAAAUCACUAUUUAUUUUCUCUUCGCCUGCUCGUCUCCAACUCCAUCCAAGCCUCCGCGUCUCCGGCUCGCGGAGUCCAUGCCCAGGGACUCCUCUGUCGGCCAGCGUGCUCAAGCAAGGAUGCACCCACAUGUCAUAGCCAGUUUUAACCCCUCUAACCAAAGGAUUCUCUCUGCUAAUAGUGGAUGACAUAGGGGAAAAAUUCUCUGGUUCAAAAGGGCAUGACCAGUACAAUCAAAGUUCUGACAUUGAGUGGAAAGCAUGUUGCAGACUGACAGGUGUGUGAACAUCCAACUGGAGUAUAGUGCAUUAGCAGCAGAGAUGACUAACUUUGAAAGUUGAUGAGCAAGUUACCUGAGCGAUGGAUGCUGAGAUACAUACAUUUAACAUCCAACCAACCCAAAUAUCUUCCACCGACUCUUUUCAAAGUCAUGAGAAUAGAAUUUACCUGAUAUGCAUUCCGUAGAUAAUAGUUCUUAUGAACCCUCACCUAAAAUGUGGCCAAAAUGGAACUUCGGAAAAUUUCGGAAUGGAAAAGCGAUGUUUUAUAAUCAGUCGAUGAGCAUCUUCACAAUUGUCAGAAUGUUAAAUGAACGGUUUACAAACCUUUACAAGGAACUUUCUCCUGAAUGAAGCAAAGAACAGCUACAUGUAUAAUUAGGAAGAGACCUGAACAUUAAAAAAAAUGUUAUUCUUGUUUUGGUGGCAGUGACUUAAUAAUGACAGCAGGUGGCAUUCUUUCAUUCGGUGUCACCUAUCAUAUAUGAUGGUUUAAGAACCAUACCUUUCAUGAUAACAAUGCUCCAGCAAAUAAGAGGAGAUAGUUUGAACUUGAGUGUCGGCUCUCAGAGGGAUCCAAGCACCCAGGAGGAUCUCCAAACACGUUUAGCGUGUAUUCAAGAACAACAAGAGGACAUUGGCAAGAGCAACAUUGCAAAGCAUUUACAGUCACUCUUUGUACUAAUUGUUGGGAAAAGAGUAUUCAACAGAUGCCAAGGACAUCACAUGAAUUCCCUAGCAGCUGAAAAGAGCUUCCAUUGUCAAACCUAAUAUCAUUUUCACAUAUGAGGAGAUGCUUUGGACAGUUGAACUUGAGAUUCAGCUCACAGAGGGAUGCAAGCACCAGGGAGGCUCAGAAGGCAUAUUUGGAGAGUAUUCAAGAGCAAUGAGAACAGAAGCAAGAGCAGCGCUUCAAAGCACCCACCGACGCUCUUUUUCAACGGAUGACGAGGACAUCUCAUGAAUUCCCUGGCAGCUGGAAAUAGCAUCCAUCAUCGGAUCUGAUAUCAUUUCCACAAAGAGGAUCAGGACCCUAGGAGGUUUGGAUGUGAUUGGGAGUUAUUUGUUUGUCAAGUCUGUGUACAUUUUUCAAGUGCUAUACAAUAUUUUGAGGUUCAGUGGCGUAUCCAAUAUACAAAUUAUGAGUGCUGUGAAAGAUGAAAUAAUGAUCCAUUCAUUUCGGCUAUGCCUCGUUGAAUGGAUUGUUUCAUCAUUCACCACAUG
This 1676-nucleotide long non-coding RNA is filed under the name Lytechinus variegatus (green sea urchin). RNAcentral describes it as "uncharacterized LOC121422983". The record is from RNAcentral. Lineage: Eukaryota; Metazoa; Echinodermata; Echinoidea; Temnopleuroida; Toxopneustidae.